GCGGAAGUAGUUCAGUUGGUAGAACACAACCUUGCCAAGGUUGAAGUCGAGGGUUCGAGUCCCUUCUCCCGCU
This 73-nucleotide transfer RNA is filed under the name Wolbachia pipientis. Its description in RNAcentral is "tRNA-Gly". It matches the Rfam family "tRNA". Rfam says of the family: Transfer RNA (tRNA) molecules are approximately 80 nucleotides in length. Lineage: Bacteria; Pseudomonadati; Pseudomonadota; Alphaproteobacteria; Rickettsiales; Anaplasmataceae. The record is from RNAcentral. RNAcentral also lists the same sequence under 1 other name.